AUGUCGAUGGCGAGGGCGGCGAGGGCGGCGGCGAGGGCCCCGGGCAGGGCGGCGGCGCGGUUCGUGCAGACCAGGCUCCGCUCCUCCGGCAAGGUGCUCAGCGAGGAGGAGAGGGCCGCCGAGAACGUCUACAUCAAGGUAUACCGCCCCCGUCCCCCGUCCCCUUCCCUCCCGCUCCGGCGCGAGAUGGUUCCUCGUGGACCCCGUCUCGUCUCGUCGGCCCCGCGCGGGUUGGGCUAG
This 240-nucleotide ribosomal RNA is filed under the name Triticum aestivum (bread wheat). RNAcentral describes it as "partial small subunit ribosomal RNA". The record is from RNAcentral. Lineage: Eukaryota; Viridiplantae; Streptophyta; Magnoliopsida; Poales; Poaceae.